AGCUGACUACUCUUGCUAUAAGAUGUUCAUUGCGUUCAUCACAGAGACGGCAUGGGGGAAGAAACUGUCUCUGCAGCUCUGUACUGCCUCCCUGAAGAUCUGUGCAAGUCCUGGAUGGAGGGAAGAUCAGCCCUGACAAUCCGCUCUGCAGAUGUAUGAAAUGGAGUUUAAACGAAAAUUCAACAUCACCAUCAACUCCAGCUUCAUCUAAUUACUCCUCAGUGCAGCUCUGCUCCACCAAUCAGCGUCAAGUCUGCAUUUCUCCCUCGCCAAUCAUCCUUCAAGGCUCC
Long non-coding RNA from Girardinichthys multiradiatus, 290 nucleotides. RefSeq lists it as uncharacterized. The record is from RefSeq and is a predicted model, not a curated record. NCBI's taxonomy places the organism in Eukaryota, Metazoa, Chordata, Actinopteri, Cyprinodontiformes, Goodeidae. The transcript has 3 exons.